GUCAACACAACUGAAACUAUUGAACAACAACAACAUGGAUCUCAUCCCCUUCCUCUCCCCAGGGACUAAGGUGAUGGUGGAGGUGGAGGUAGAGGAGGGUUAUGCCUCCCACGCUGUGGUGGAAUAAGUUUAUAAAUUUAUGAUUAUACCUUUUGAAGUGAGUAUUUCUUUGUAAGAGCUAAUCUGACUGUUGGUGGCCAAAUGGAACAAGAACUCAGGGGACCACGCUCUACAAUUGGGGGAACACUGUCAUUGGAGGCCCGAGCCACGUGCAGAAAGCCUAGACACCCCCAAUCCCCUUAAAGGUACUAAGUGAAAUGUAGCACACCUGGCCUUCAGGUAGCACGGGUCAAGAUGGUUGGUUUCACACAUAUAAUCACCAUGUUUUUAGCCACCCAGGUAUAACAGAAAGCCCUAAAUGUGCUCCUAAGAGAAUAAAGGGACCAGGCCUGGAGCCUGCUCGGUGUCUGUCGUUUACUCCAGAUGUAUGACCAGCUAUGUGCUGGACUUCUGGACUCAUUCAGGUAACGAAUGUAUCUUUAAGGUAUCACUGCUCCUGCUACUAGAAAAUUAAUUUUUCCUGGAGGUUGAUUUAAUUCAAUAGUUGUGACACGGUGGUGCCUGGGCCUUUUGGGCAUCAACCUCAGUUUUAAUUAAGAGUUCAUAAUUUUGUUCUCACUCGGAUGCUUCCAGGAUCUGUGAUUUCCACACAGGCUGCAAUACCUACACUGUUUAACAGGAGAUCUUUGAGAGUUUAUUUGGUUAGAGAAUCCAUCUCUGCGCUGCCAAACUGCUCAUCAGCCUCUUUGGAGGCAGUCAUUUGGUCUUCAGAAAAGAACUCCAGGGUCUAUUGAGAAAGCCACAUUUUCCCUUUUCCAGUUUGGUGUGCCUGAUGGACUUAAAUGCCCACCUUCUUGUCAGGAGGAGGCCCUGGAGGAGGAGCUUAGGGCCAGGUGAAGAAGCUGGUGAACACCUUUGGCUCAAAUGGUUACACAACACCCCAAGUGUUAGCACAUCAGGGCAAGCAGGGCAGCAUGAAGACCAGUCACCCAGAGGAGUUUACGGGUAUCCUUCUCACACUGGGUGUUCCUAUAAUCAGCAGAGAGAUACAGAGCUCUCACCGCACGAGCUACAGACUAGUCCUUGUGAUUCUGCUGAAGCAAAACUUUGUCAUUCUGGAAGGAGGAAAGAGGAGACAGAUGGGAUACCGUCACAACAAUGUAUGUGCAAGAUUCAGCUGCUCGUGGUGGUUUGACGUCAGCAUUUCUGGGGGUGUAAUCCCCUUGUGCAAUGCCCCUCCUCUUCUGUGCCAGGACGUGCUGUACGGCUGCCCGAUGCCCAAGACCCAGAGUAUACCAGGCAGAACUGGGGCUGAUCAAGCACCCAAGUCAGCACUGGAUGCAUAUUUGUUUAGCUUUUUUGAGCCCUUCCCUUUUCCCAGUGCAGUAUAUGGCACAGAGUAAGUCAUUAGUAAAUGCUUUUACAUUCA
Phascolarctos cinereus (koala) is the source of this 1489-nucleotide non-coding RNA. The record is from RefSeq and is a predicted model, not a curated record. Lineage: Eukaryota; Metazoa; Chordata; Mammalia; Diprotodontia; Phascolarctidae.